This 1609-nucleotide long non-coding RNA is filed under the name Lathyrus oleraceus (garden pea). Its description in RNAcentral is "Pisum sativum (pea) long non-coding RNA (PSAT_LNC032842)". Lineage: Eukaryota; Viridiplantae; Streptophyta; Magnoliopsida; Fabales; Fabaceae. The record is from RNAcentral.
CAUGAACUUUUUUCCAUUUUAAGCCAUUUUUCAUUUCAAUCAAUAGCCAUGUUAAACCAUUUUUAAGCCAACUUCCAAACAUUUACAUUAGACCAUCAUUCAAUUCCAAGUACAUAUAUUCAACCAUUACAACCAUGUUUAUACAAAUUCCAUACAUAUUUCAUAUAUUCAAUGUAUUCAAUAAACCAACUACAAAGUUCAUAUACUCCAAUAGCCAAAUCCAAAGCCCUGUAUUUUUCACUGACAAUCUCCAAGCUUCAUAACUAAUCCAAGUCCAAACAUGUAAACAUCCCUGCAAAUCCAAGCCGAGUUUGAAUCCAUCAUACACUUCAUGGCCAAUGACAACCUGCAUAACUGUAAUAGAAAAAACAUGAUUCCACAAGCAAGCCAUUGAAUUCAAGACCCUGCGUCAUUGUCCAAACAGAGGAAAAAUAAAAACCAGUCUUAGCCUGCAAGAAAAAGCUAAAUGCACUAUAACUCAGUUCUAAACAAAAUCCUCUAACUUCCUUCUUCAUUUACACUCACCAUUAAACUAACAACGUUCUAACUGAUCAUUAUCCAACUAAAUAAUUAUUUCCUAACUUCCUAACUACCUGUAAUAGAAAGCAAACAACAUAAAAUAAUUGAGAUUGUGUAUAAAAGCAUCACUACAACAUUCACUCUCUCACUUUUCUUACUCACACAAAAAUUCUCAAUCACUGAAAACAAAAUCGUCUUCUCAACUCACCUUUCAGCAAUCUCAGGAAUUUUCUCACUUUUCUUGAGAUUUCAAAAAUCAUCUCAUUCACAUUUUAUCACCUUCAUCACCCUCUGAUUCUUUCACUUUUCUGAACUCACAUAAAAAUUCUCAAUCACUGCAAAAAGAAUCAUAUUCCUCACUCAUUCUUCACAGAACAAUCAUCAUCCUCUUCACUCCUCUCAAGAAUACUCGUCAAUCCAUAUUUAUCACCAUAUAAACAAUUCUCUCACUUCAGAACCACAACACACGCAUAGAAGAAGAGAAUCGAAGGCACGUAACAGAAGAAGAAGGAGAAGACAAAGAGAAGACACGCGAACAAAGAGAACACAAAGAAGAGUUUCAAGAUUGUACCAGAAGCCAAUGUAUUAUCCUGUAGGUCUCCAUUCUUCUUUUCAUCGUUUUAUAAAAUAAAAGUUACCACUAUGUAGCCCUCCAUGAGGGGAAUCAAAGCCCCAAGGUGGAGUGGCUUGAUUCCCCUCUGUUUUGAUUUAAUUUGAAAUCUCUUAGUUAUGGUUCUUCACGUUUUCCAUUCGAUUUGAAUAGUUCAAGAAGAAUUAGGAGUUUCCAUUAUCAUUUUUGGAUUCAGGGCAUAGAAAUGGUUUAGGUGAUGUUCUCGAUUGAGUUUAAGGAGUGUCUCUGUCGCCGGAGAUGGCCUCCGACGCGACGGAGGGAGGACUGAGAGAGAAGGGAGAUGACGUGUUCCAUAGUUUAGUUUUGAGUUCUUCAACAUGUUUUGCAUGUGCAUUUUAUUACUUUUAGUUUAUUAGUUCUAGUUAUUGAUGACUCAUUUCCAUGUCAACUUCAACCUUAUCCAUUCCAAUUGCACAUGUUGAUUUUCGUGUGGGCUUGUGUGUUUGGACCUAUUUGCAU